RNAcentral lists this transfer RNA (75 nucleotides) under Streptomyces mutabilis. The record is from RNAcentral. Lineage: Bacteria; Bacillati; Actinomycetota; Actinomycetes; Kitasatosporales; Streptomycetaceae.
GCAGAGCCUCGCGCUGAUCGAGAACUGGCCGGUCCCCUCCGCCGCGGCGGGCGUCGUACGCGCCGACGGCACGGU